This 765-nucleotide long non-coding RNA is filed under the name Brassica napus (rape). RNAcentral's name for it is "long non-coding RNA (BNAP_LNC022748)". Lineage: Eukaryota; Viridiplantae; Streptophyta; Magnoliopsida; Brassicales; Brassicaceae. The record is from RNAcentral.
UUCAUCGUGCAUAUGCUAUAGCUAGUUGAUCAUCAUAUGUAAAUAUAUAUUAUACAAUGAUAUAAUAGAUUUGACCACUGUUAAAAAAAAGAAACUUUAAUAUUUCUCGAGUGUUUAUUAAAUUGGCGAAGUCUUCACAAUUAGAGUUUUUCUUAAUAACCCAUACUUUGGGUCUGUUUAUUUCACCAUGUUUAUUUCACCAUCCAGAUGAAUCAUCUAGUUUAGAUUUAAAAUUGCAACCCAUCUAAAUGGUUUAUCUGGAUGAGUUUUAGAAAUCUAGGUUUAAUUUUUAGAAUCAUCAAAUUGAACCAAAUUGAACCAUCUGAAUGGAGAUAGUUUUAUCAAAAUGGUAUAAUGUCUACUAUAUCUUUGAUAUAAUUAACAAAUUACAAACCUAAACCUACUAUAUUUUGUCAAUCAAUAAAAAUGACAAAACCGCAAAAAUCAUUUCCCACUAAAACCACAAAACAUAUUUUCUCGUCAAAAUCGUAAAAACGUAUUUUCUCACGGAAACUACAUAAUGCAUUUUCCCGCCAAAAUCGCAAAAACGCAUUUUCCGCCAAAAUCACAAAAACGUAUCUCCCCCCAAAACGCAAGAACACAUUUUCUCACCAAAAACGCAAAACACACAAUUUCCCGUCAAAACAAUAAAAGUGCAUUUUCCCGCCAAAACCGCAAAAAUUCAUUUUCUCAACAAAAUCACAAAAACACAUUUCCCGACAAAACCUCAAAACACAUUUUCCCGCCAAAAUACACAUUUUCUCG